CCCUCUUCCUCACGCACGCACAGUCGUCUCUCUCCGCCUCGGUGGCAUUCCCGACUCUCUCGUUCUCUCUCUUCUCCCUUCUGCAUUCGCCUUUCUUGAGAACAUAAAAGAAAAAGCGAGCAGAGAGAGAGGGAGAGAGAGGGAGAGAAAGACAAAGGCGGAGAAAAGAACAAGAAAAAGGAAUAGAGGAGACAGGCUCGAAAGCAGCAAGUUGCGAGCCCAAGGCGGAGUCAGAAGCCUAAGAAAGAGGAGGGACGGGCUUACCAGGGUUUCUUCCUGCUCUCUCCGUCUCCUUCCGGAAUGCGGCCUCUGAUGCCAGCCAUCGGGAUCUUUCCUUCCCCUACGAGAAGGAGACAUGCGAGGAGAAAAAGGUACCAAGAUGAUGGUGGUCCGGGCUACAAUGACCAUGUGCUCCUGCAAUAAUAACAUGCCAGAUUCUCUAGUCCUGUUGAUUUCGGUAGCCGAUAUGCAUUAGACGAGGACAUGUUUGGAGAAUUCGGGAAUGAAGCCAUUGGUCCGCGAGACACCAUAUAUUUUGGGUCACUGUAAUUGACAUCCUCAAAUGUCGAUUUCUAGUUCAGUUAAAUGACGUAUUCUGUUUAGUUCUUCCAAUUCUCUGAAUUGUUGUUCCUGUUGAACCAAUGAGCUUCACCACGGUUUCUACACAGUGGCCUCUUGGUGGGAUGAUGCUAAAUGGUUGCAACAAGUAGUUCCUCGAAGAGCCAAGGUAUGAUUGUGUGAUGGUGCUGUGAAUUGUGUUCCCAGUAAGGAUGAUGCAGAGUUCGAAGAACUGGAAACUCUCGGUCAACAUCCGGUUCUUAAAUGUCUUUUUAAGGGUUGGGUAGGGUAUCACGGUAAGGAUGCAGAGUCAUAAUUCAUUUGCAGGACAUACACGUCUGUAUUAUGCUGGACGAGGGCUAUUAUGUUCUGAUCCACCAAUAUUAAUUCACUUUUU
Long non-coding RNA from Musa acuminata AAA Group (dessert banana), 955 nucleotides. RefSeq lists it as uncharacterized. The transcript has 3 exons. The record is from RefSeq and is a predicted model, not a curated record. Lineage: Eukaryota; Viridiplantae; Streptophyta; Magnoliopsida; Zingiberales; Musaceae.